Molecule: long non-coding RNA, 689 nt
Organism: Prosopis cineraria
Lineage: Eukaryota; Viridiplantae; Streptophyta; Magnoliopsida; Fabales; Fabaceae
Exons: 3
Source: RefSeq, a predicted model, not a curated record
GAGAAAGAGAGGUGCUCUGUUUUUCCCCUUCGUUCUUUCGUUAUUCCUCUGGGUCUUCGCGUCCUUCUCUUCCAAUUCUGCCACCUCUGACCACCGCCGUUCGACACGCCAUCGACAGGAGUAGAAACUCCGCUUGCCGCUGCUGUGACAUCGCCGAGACUCUUCGUUCUUUCCUGCUCUGUGUCUUCCAUAAACCACUGUAUUGUGGUACAAAUCGGGGUUUGGAAGAAGAAGAUUUUGAUAGGAACUAAAAAGGGAGAAAAUCUUUGAAAAUUUGGGAACACCACAGAUAGUGUAGCUGACAUUGAAUCACCCACUGAACAUUGAGGAGUUUUUGAUUGAUUAGAAGCGAAGGAGCUAAGGAUUUAACUUUCUCUUGACGUAAAGUUUUAAUUAUGAAAUUUUAUUUUGUAAAUUUAUUGUUAGGUGCUCCACAUAGUCUGUGGUCAGUUUUUUUUUAUGUGGUUAUAUAUUUUAUCUGUCAGUUGGAAGGAGCUCUACUCCUGAUUGGCUUGAUAUUUUUGGUUGAAAUAUUGUCUUGUAGAAUUUUUGGGAAAUCUUAUUUACGGAGGAGAUUCUGUCGAAAUUUCUACAAAAUAUUGAGACUUUUAUUACUACCAAAAAUGUUUACGUAUGUUCUAAUUCAAACUAAAACAUAAUUAUCUUUUAGUUAUGAAAAGAUUACCCAA